Long non-coding RNA from Asparagus officinalis (garden asparagus), 919 nucleotides. RefSeq lists it as uncharacterized. The transcript is spliced from 2 exons. The record is from RefSeq and is a predicted model, not a curated record. NCBI's taxonomy places the organism in Eukaryota, Viridiplantae, Streptophyta, Magnoliopsida, Asparagales, Asparagaceae.
AGUGGAUGCCCUAUGAACUGGUUUUAGCUUCACUACCGGAUAUUUGUAGAGAUGGUGAAAAUAUAUGGCGUGCCCGAGUCCCGAUUAUAUGCUUUGAGUUUGUCAAAAUACAUGUGCCCAAUCGCGUGCUUCGACAAUUUGGAUUAAAAUAACAUAUUCCAUAUCCUGUAGAAAGAAUAGAGCGAAAUCCCCAAAAAGGAGCACAUCGUCAAAAUUGGGAGAUAAUUCGUCAAUCUUAUAUUAAGAAUUGGGAGUUGAGAGAGGAUGUUGUAGUGAUGGAGAAAGGUGACGCACCAGAACUAGAUGUGUACUUACGUUUGUAUUGGGGGAUUACUAGCCGAUGGAUAUAUCGAGAGAACAAAGCACCUAAGGCGUAUAUACCGAGGGGACCAAUUGAGUGAGAGUAGAAGACUCGUUAAGGUUGUUUCUAUUGUCCAUGAUGCAUUGAGAUCGACUACCGAGCAAGGGGCAAGGAAUGCAUUUAUUCGCAUCAUAGUAAAGAUUCAAUCUGCUCUUAGAAAGACACUUCACGCAAAUCGUGAUGGACGUCAAGAAGAACUCAUAGGGUACGAGCGUCAACGGUUGCGAGGACACACCAGGACGGGCUCAAGUCGUGCACAUGACGAACUCGGAUGUUCACAGCAGGUUCAAGACGGAUGUUCACAGCAGGUUCAAGCCGGAUGUUCACAGUAAGUUUAAGUCGAGGAGAAUGUCACGCGCUCACAAAUUCACACACAACCAGAUGAUGAGAUCAUCCAAGCUCGUGUUGAAGGUGAACGUGGACGAUGGAGAGGAAGAAGAGAGAAAGUGAGAGGAAAGAGAGUUCUAUAUGUUUGCUAAUUUUCGAUAUUGCUUGUUUUAUGAUGUUUAUGUUUGAAAUGCUAGUUGGACUAAGUGUUUAUGAUUGAAAUUUUACUAA